Molecule: long non-coding RNA, 224 nt
Filed under: Manihot esculenta (cassava)
Lineage: Eukaryota; Viridiplantae; Streptophyta; Magnoliopsida; Malpighiales; Euphorbiaceae
Description: long non-coding RNA (MESC_LNC005110)
Source: RNAcentral
GGGUCAUGUCUAAUCCAUGAUAUAUUGAGAUGUUUGUUUGGUGAUGCAUUUUCAUAUAUAGUGCGUAUGAAUGAACUGUUUUCAGUGUUUCUACUCACUGGGCUUUAGAAGCUCAUCCCUUUCCCUUAAUCCCAGUUUUGCAGGUUCAGAGUAGCUGGGAAGGGCAGAAGCAUCAGAGGUGCUAAAGGAUUGCAUGUGUAAUAGUAUAGUGUGGACAUGAUGUA